UAGAGUUUGAUCCUGGCUCAGAGCGAACGCUGGCGGCAGGCUUAACACAUGCAAGUCGAACGGGCGUAGCAAUACGUCAGUGGCAGACGGGUGAGUAACGCGUGGGAACGUACCUUUUGGUUCGGAACAACACAGGGAAACUUGUGCUAAUACCGGAUAAGCCCUUACGGGGAAAGAUUUAUCGCCGAAAGAUCGGCCCGCGUCUGAUUAGCUAGUUGGUGAGGUAAAAGCUCACCAAGGCGACGAUCAGUAGCUGGUCUGAGAGGAUGAUCAGCCACACUGGGACUGAGACACGGCCCAGACUCCUACGGGAGGCAGCAGUGGGGAAUAUUGGACAAUGGGCGAAAGCCUGAUCCAGCCAUGCCGCGUGAGUGAUGAAGGCCCUAGGGUUGUAAAGCUCUUUUGUGCGGGAAGAUAAUGACGGUACCGCAAGA
Molecule: ribosomal RNA, 434 nt
Filed under: Rhodopseudomonas sp. MS279c
Lineage: Bacteria; Pseudomonadati; Pseudomonadota; Alphaproteobacteria; Hyphomicrobiales; Nitrobacteraceae
Description: bacterial SSU rRNA
Rfam family: Bacterial small subunit ribosomal RNA
Source: RNAcentral